UGGGGAAUAUUGCACAAUGGAGGGAACUCUGAUGCAGCGACGCCGCGUGAACGAAGAAGGCUUUCGAGUCGUAAAGUUCUUUUAUAUGGGAAGAUAAUGACGGUACCAUAAGAAAAAGCCCCGGCUAACUACGUGCCAGCAGCCGCGGUAAUACGUAGGGGGCUAGCGUUGUCCGGAAUCACUGGGCGUAAAGGGUUCGCAGGCGGAAAUGCAAGUCAGGUGUAAAAGGCAGUAGCUUAACUACUGUAAGCAUUUGAAACUGCAUAUCUUGAGAAGAGUAGAGGUAAGUGGAAUUUUUAGUGUAGCGGUGAAAUGCGUAGAUAUUAAAAAGAAUACCGGUGGCGAAGGCGGCUUACUGGGCUCAUUCUGACGCUGAGGAACGAAAGCGGGGGUAGCAAACAGG
Molecule: ribosomal RNA, 403 nt
Filed under: bacterium
Lineage: Bacteria
Description: partial 16S ribosomal RNA
Rfam family: Bacterial small subunit ribosomal RNA
Source: RNAcentral